This 253-nucleotide ribosomal RNA is filed under the name uncultured bacterium. Its description in RNAcentral is "partial 16S ribosomal RNA". It matches the Rfam family "Bacterial small subunit ribosomal RNA", at positions 524 to 776 of the family's 1533-position model. The record is from RNAcentral.
UACGAAGGGGGCUAGCGUUGCUCGGAAUCACUGGGCGUAAAGCGCACGUAGGCGGAUUGCUAAGUCAGGGGUGAAAUCCUGGAGCUCAACUCCAGAACUGCCCUUGAUACUGGCGGUCUCGAGUCCGGGAGAGGUGAGUGGAACUGCGAGUGUAGAGGUGAAAUGCGUAGAUAUUGGGAGGAACACCAGUGGCGAAGGCGGCUCACUGGACCGGAACUGACGCUGAGGCGCGAAAGCGUGGGGAGCAAACAGG